This 212-nucleotide long non-coding RNA is filed under the name Lathyrus oleraceus (garden pea). RNAcentral describes it as "Pisum sativum (pea) long non-coding RNA (PSAT_LNC008367)". Lineage: Eukaryota; Viridiplantae; Streptophyta; Magnoliopsida; Fabales; Fabaceae. The record is from RNAcentral.
AACCACCCCACUUGGGGAGAAUAUACAUAGCAAACUGAUCACAACAGGUAGAUUCUGCAAUAUAAGCCACUCUACUGGGGAUCACAAACAGUCAGGAAAUCAAUCCAUUCUCUGGAGGCCAAAGCCAUCAUCCGACCAUACUGGGGAUUGAAGGAAUAUCCAGCGGGCAAAACUGCCACAACAAACAUUCUGCAGACUACGCUGAGGAAAAG